GUUUGGAAACUAUCUCCCCUGUCUGGUGUCCUUGCAGCUGUGCAUCUGUCAGUCUGUGCUGUCAUCUUCUUCAGGGUAACCUCAAAUGUUCCAAGGUCUUACACCUACUCAUCAUAUUCAGGGAACUGAGACUCCACACACCUCACUUUGAGGCUGGAAUAUGCUGAAACUGCCUCCACAAACUCAUUAUUCUGGACCAAGACUUACAGCCUAAAGUGAAGGACAUUUCCAAAGAAAUUUUCUCCUCACUGAUGCCUCUCCUGCUGCAAUGCAAUGACCCUGGCUAUGUACAAGACAUACUUUGGCUUGCUCCUGGGAAACCUUUGCUCUGUAAAGAGCACUGAGCUGUUGCUACCAUUGCUGGCUUCAAGCACUUUGUCCCCAUUCAUUUCCAAGGUCAGACCUAAUGCCAAGACUUUCUUGAAGGAGAAGUGGGGAGUCUCAGCUACUGCUGCCAGAAAGGCAGAUGUUUUCAUUGUUUGCUGCAACUUGUUUGUCUUAUAGUGGUUUCUCAAGAUAUCCAGGAAGAAAGAAAAACAAAUACCUCACCCUGCCCUAGGAAAGUGACAGACUGUGAUGACACUUCCAUCACAAAACAGGCCUGGACUCUGAAGCAGUUGUCUCCUUUAACACAUCCAUGUUAAAACCAGUCUAAGUUUCGCCUUCUCAGGCAUGCUCCCACUACAUUGUGUUUACAAUUUUUUUCUCUAUUAUUAUUUUACUUAUUAUUUUUUUGAGAUGGAGUCUCACUCUGUUACCCAGGCUGGAGAGCAGUGGCGCUAUCUCGGCUCACUGCAAGCUCCGCCUCCCAGGUUCACGCCAUUCUCCUGCCUCAGCCUCCUGAGUAGCUGGUACUACAGGCACCCGCCACCACGCCUGGCUAAUUUUUUGUAUUUUUAGUAGAGAUGGGGUUUCACCAUGUUAGCCAGAAUGGUCUCAAUCUCCUGACCUCGUGAUCCACCCAACUCGGCCUCCCAAAGUGCUGGGAUUACAGGCGUGAGCCACCGCGCCUGGCCUUAAAAUAUUUUAAUACACAUUUUCAUUUAUUGGAGAAAUGUGUCAUUGCUUAAGUUGUUCUGUUUAAACAAUGUGAUACAGGUCUCAUUUAAUUUAGAAAGUUUAUUUUGCCAAGGUUGAGGAUGCACGCCUGUGACACAGCCUCAGGAGGUUCUGACAACAUGUGUCCAAGGCGGUCAGAGCAUAGUUUGGUUUUAUACAUUUUAGGGAGACAUGAGAUGUCAAUCAACAUAUGUAAGAUGAACAUUGGUUCAAUCUGGAAAGGUGGGCAACUUUAAGCAAAGGCAGGAAGACUUGAAGUCAUGAGGGGCCUUCCAGGUCAUAGGCAGAUAAGAGAAAAAUGAUUGUAUUAUUUUGAGUUUCUGAUUAGCCUCUCCAAAGGAGGCAAUCAAUUAUCUCAGUGAGCAGAGGGGUGACUUUGAAUAGAAUGGGAGGCAAGUUUGCCCUAAGCAGUUCCCACUUGACUUUUCCCUUUAGCUUAGUGAUUUGGGGGCCCCAAGAUUUAUUUUCCUUUCACACUCCUAGGUACAGUGCCUAGUCAG
RNAcentral lists this long non-coding RNA (1559 nucleotides) under Pan troglodytes (chimpanzee). Its description in RNAcentral is "lincRNA". The record is from RNAcentral. Lineage: Eukaryota; Metazoa; Chordata; Mammalia; Primates; Hominidae.